UACUAAGAUUUCGUAGUCCACAGGUGGCUAAUAAAUCAUUCAUUUUUCUCAAACAUUUUGUCAGCAACAGUACUUAGUACCUAGUACUAUUAAUAUCACCUAUGUGAAAUGAAGUAUCGAUCGAGACCUGCGCGUUGCAUUCAGGCCGCGACUAUUUAUAUCCGGGUGCAGCGCCGUCCAUCCCUCAUUCUGACGACAGCCACGGCUGGGGCCGUGCCUCCUCUGGAGUUCUGCUGAUACCAAGACGGAGAGCGACCUCACCUGACACUCUGGAGUACACCUUUCCGAGUGCGGCGGAUCGCCGCCACCUUUGACCAAGGUCUUUCCCGGUCAGCGUACAGCCAUGGUGAUGCAGCACCAGAUCCACCCAUGGCCGGACAGAAUUGGCUAGAUUAAAGGAAACUAAUGUUACUUGGACUUACAAAUUACUCAUGCUCUAACUAACUUGAGUAAUUCGUGAGUACUGAGUUAGUGGGGGGCGGCAGCGAACUACGAUUAGUAAUAAGUAGUUUGUGGAAGCCGAAGUUAUCAUAAAUUACUUAUUGUUGACACAAUAAGUAAUUUAUGGAAGCCGAGGUGGACACGAGCUACUUAUUAUUUAAAAAGUAUUUCGUGUAUGCACAGGCGAUGUUGAGGCGUAAUGUUAAAAUUUAGCGUAAGCCUUUGAAGCUAUGCCAUUGACAUUGUAUUUCUACUUUGCGAUCUUGAUGCAUAGCUUUACAUGUAGAUAUAAGUAUCUUUACCUACUUAAGAAAGUUUCUUUUAGGUAGGUAUGGAUAAUAUUUAUAAGUAGAUAUAAUAUCAAGUGUGUGUUUCCAUCUCCACUAUUUAAGGUUAAACUUUUAAGAUCUCCCCUUAAGAAAUGGCAAACUUGGAAGUUAUACUCAAGAAAAGGCAAAGUUGAAUCUGCCAUAAGUACAUUACAAUGCCCCACGGGACGUUUUAUAUGUCCCACAAAUUGCUAGGGUAACGACGAUUAUGUAAGGUCUAGAUGUCCAAAUAGACCUUACAUACCCCGGACAUGACGUACUCGGACUUGACACUAAAAUAAGAAGACCUUUAAUCAUGAAACGGAAGAAGUUCACUUAUUGUAUCCGGAGAGACAAUAUCAAUAUGUAUUUAUAUGAAUUAUCUAUUUUAUGAGAUUUUUUUGAGACCGCCGU
Molecule: long non-coding RNA, 1163 nt
Organism: Trichoplusia ni (cabbage looper)
Lineage: Eukaryota; Metazoa; Arthropoda; Insecta; Lepidoptera; Noctuidae
Exons: 3
Source: RefSeq, a predicted model, not a curated record